UACGUAGGGUCCGAGCGUUGUCCGGAGUUACUGGGCGUAAAGCGCGCGCAGGCGGCUCGUCAAGUCUGGCGUGAAAGCCCCCGGCUCAACCGGGGAGGGUCGUCGGAGACUGGCGGGCUUGAGGGCGGCAGGGGUUGGUGGAAUUCCCGGUGUAGUGGUGAAAUGCGUAGAGAUCGGGAGGAACCCCCGUGGCGAAGGCGGCCACCUGGGCCGGUCCUGACGCUGAGGCGCGAAGGCGUGGGAGCGAACGGG
RNAcentral lists this ribosomal RNA (252 nucleotides) under uncultured bacterium. Its description in RNAcentral is "partial 16S ribosomal RNA". It matches the Rfam family "Bacterial small subunit ribosomal RNA", at positions 524 to 776 of the family's 1533-position model. The record is from RNAcentral.